This 798-nucleotide ribosomal RNA is filed under the name uncultured bacterium. Its description in RNAcentral is "bacterial SSU rRNA". It matches the Rfam family "Bacterial small subunit ribosomal RNA", at positions 21 to 818 of the family's 1533-position model. The record is from RNAcentral.
GGCCGCGGGAAUUCCUUUCAGGCCUAACACAUGCAAGUCGAGCGGUAGAGAGAAGCUUGCUUCUCUUGAGAGCGGCGGACGGGUGAGUAAUGCCUAGGAAUCUGCCUGGUAGUGGGGGAUAACGUUCGGAAACGGACGCUAAUACCGCAUACGUCCUACGGGAGAAAGCAGGGGACCUUCGGGCCUUGCGCUAUCAGAUGAGCCUAGGUCGGAUUAGCUAGUUGGUGAGGUAAUGGCUCACCAAGGCGACGAUCCGUAACUGGUCUGAGAGGAUGAUCAGUCACACUGGAACUGAGACACGGUCCAGACUCCUACGGGAGGCAGCAGUGGGGAAUAUUGGACAAUGGGCGAAAGCCUGAUCCAGCCAUGCCGCGUGUGUGAAGAAGGUCUUCGGAUUGUAAAGCACUUUAAGUUGGGAGGAAGGGCAGUUACCUAAUACGUGAUUGUUUUGACGUUACCGACAGAAUAAGCACCGGCUAACUCUGUGCCAGCAGCCGCGGUAAUACAGAGGGUGCAAGCGUUAAUCGGAAUUACUGGGCGUAAAGCGCGCGUAGGUGGUUAGUUAAGUUGGAUGUGAAAUCCCCGGGCUCAACCUGGGAACUGCAUUCAAAACUGACUGACUAGAGUAUGGUAGAGGGUGGUGGAAUUUCCUGUGUAGCGGUGAAAUGCGUAGAUAUAGGAAGGAACACCAGUGGCGAAGGCGACCACCUGGACUGAUACUGACACUGAGGUGCGAAAGCGUGGGUAGCAAACAGGAUUAGAUACCCUGGUAGUCCACGCCGUAAACGAUGUCAACUA